UUUCCUUUAUUCCUUUAGAGAGAGGGAAUCACUCACUUCUGAUACCAUGUGAUGUGAGGAUAAAAACACAAAGAGACAUGCUUUAAACAGCAACUAGAUAACUCCCUCACCAGGAAGGUCCUAUAUUUAUUAAACUUCCUGCUGCAACACAUCCUGGUCCUCUUUGGUAACAGUGGAGGACCAAAGACCCUAACUCCUCCACCGACUCCAUAUGCCAGCUAUCCAAAGAAUUUGUUAACCUGCUGCUGGAGUCAGAAAUAACCCAUUUAUACAUGGAACAAUUUUUCCUCCAUGGUCAUGACACUAUCCAUCUCUCCACAGGGGUUUUGUAUCCUUGGUAAUGGAGUAGUUCCUGUUUCUAAUCUCCAUAAUGAAGAACUGACUCCAGGCCUGACUCCAAGUUUCUGAUUUGCUACAGGAGGCACCAUCCUUCUGCUGUCCUUGAACUGCAGCUGGGGAGGGCAGUCUCCCACAUGAACCCCUCCCACCCACAAACCUGAUUUUUGUGGAGAGUAAAGGUUGAUCCUAGAGUCACAAGGAGCUUUUCUUCUCUACCUGAUGGACAGGAGCUUUAAUCCAAAAGGCCUGGAAUCUGCUUUGAAACUCUUCCAUGACUUUUCAUCAAACAAAGAAAUUGCAAACAUGCUAAUCCUGAUAUGGAUGCAAGACUCCAGAUGUCAUUGCCAUUAGCUUGAUUCCCAUAUAAGACUGGCAUUUAUUUAUUUAUGCAUGCAUGCAUGUUGCUAUAGUGCCUACUGGAUCAGGGCCCCAUGGCACUAGGCACUGUAUAAACACAUAACAAAGAGUUUACAGUGUAAAUAAAUAUUCUAGGCUCUGACAAGCUUGUAGAAUGACACCCUGAGGUAGAGGAUGGCCAUGGAAUGUUGUGUCUAGAAAAGUACAAUUCUCCUUUAAAAUAGGGAAUAUCCUUUGUGAGUACAAGGUUCAGGAGCCCGGGGAGCUUUCUUGGACGAGCAGCAACAGAUCAUUUUUUUGUUGUCAUCAGCCUUUUAUAAGAAGUGAUAGGGUGGUUCUGUUGUCUUUUUUAAAAGAAAACAACAUUGAGAAUUUAUGCUUAGAUUUUCCUUUCUGUUUAAGGCCAGGUUGGGCUGCAAUGCUACACAGCACAAAGUAGCCUUAAACCAUCCAGAGCGGUGUUUCUCAACCAGGGUUACAUGUACCGCUGGGGUGCACGGAUGUCUUCUGAGGGGUACAUCAACUCAUCUAGAUAUUUGCCUACUUUUACAAUAGGCUACAUAAAAAGCACUGGCGAAGUCAGUACAGUCUAUGACUUUAUACUGCUCUAUAUACUAUACACUGAAAUGUAAGUACAAUAGUUAUUUUCCAAUUGAUUUAUUUUAUAAUUAUAUGGUAAAAAUUAGAAAGUCAGCAUUUUUUCAGUAGUAGGGUGGCUGUGACACUUUUGUAUUUUUAUGUCUGAUUUUGUAAGCAAGUAGUUUUCAAGUGAGGUGAAACUUGGGGUAUGUAGGACAAAUCAGACUCCUGAAAGGGAUAGAGUAGUCUGGAAAGGUUGAGAGCCCCUGAUCUAGAGGUUCCCAGUGAAGAAUUCCCCUGAAUUUCUCCUGGCCAGGGAUUUUAUUUUAUUUUAUUUUUUUGCUGGCACAGUGCUUUCUCUUCCAAUGUAAAGGGAGGAGGAGGUAGAGGUAGAGGAGGUAUACUGAGGGUGGACUAAAGCCAUAUUGGGGCUGGACGAGUGAAGCUGGUGGGCAGAGAAAAGCAUAUUGAGGAGUUUACAGCCUCAGUGCAGUCUCUUUUGGUUGAACACACACACACACACUCACUCUCUCUCUCCUUUAAGACUCCUGGAUUCCUGUUGAUGCUAGGCUCUCAUGGCAACGUGUGUGAGUAACACUUUCUACCAUCUCUAGUUGGCUAGGAGGCUCUGUCCCAUCCUGGAGGAUGAUGACCUGGCCUCAGUUAUACACACCUUUGUCACCUCUUGGCAGGACUGCAACUAUGCAAUACACCUGGGCAUAAAGGCUUCAGCGUUUAGGAAACUCCAGCUAGUACAGAAUAUUACAGAGCAGGGGGUGGCCAAACUGUGGCUUGCGAGCUGCAUGCUACUCUUUUACAGGUAAAGUGUGGCUCUCGGAGAGGGGAGAGCUAGGGGCUUCUGCCCAGCAUGGAGGGGGCGCCUGCUGGAGCUUGAGCCCCGCCACUCCCAUCCCCGCAGGACUGAAGCCCUGAACCCUGGCAGGCACCUCCCACAGGGCUGAAGCCCCAAGACCCCCCUCCCGACAAGGCUGGACCCUGAGCCCUAGCAGGUGCCUCCAACAGGGCAGAAGCCCCUAGCCCCCACCACACUGCCACAAGGUUAAAGCCCUGAGCUCCGUGCGGCACAGCUCUCAAACUUCUGAAGAUUGUCAUAUGCAGCUCAGAAGGUCAGUAAGUUUGAUCACCCAUGCUACAGAGCAUCUCCUCAGCAACACAGGUUAUUGUGAGCAUAUCUAACUUGCCCUCUGCUCUCUACAGUGGCUUCCCAUGGACUGUCGAAUCAAAGUCUAGGUCUGUAUCUUCAAGGGACUGCAUGGUCUGGACCCAGCUAAUAGAACACCUAAAGCUCCAGGAUGAAGAUUAUGGCUAACAGUUUUGCUCCUCUGGCAUAAUGGAAUCUGCCAAAGCUCAUCUUUGCAUGAGAGAGAACUUUUUCAUGGGCGGUUCAAGACUGUGGAAUGAACUCCCACAGGAACUAAGGACCAUCACAAACCUCACUAUCUUCUGCUCCAAGUGCAAGGCACAUUGCUCUGUCCUUGCCUUCUGUAACAAAAAUACUUAGCUCAGAACAGUUUUUUGAAACCAAAAACCUACCAAAACAAGACAUGCCACUUCACACUCCUCUCCCCUGGGGAUAGAGCGAGAGAACAAACAGCAUAUGACAAAUGUUGGUCACAUUGACUAAGGCACUCAGAUGCUAUGGUGAUCAUAGUAUUAGAUCCUGUAUAGAAUAGAAGAAUGUGUGGUAGAGCUUAUAUCUGCUACACCUAGUCUUCUGUUGGGGCACGUGGCAUUGUAAGGAGUUUAAGUUAGAGCAGUCAGUAUACUGCUCUAAUUUGUGCAGAAGCUGGGCUCUGGAUCUCUGCAGCCACCCUUCUCCAUUAUAUCUGAGCUGUGGGUGGAUGUAGCUGAAAAUCAGAGACUUCAAAUGCAAAACUAAAAACAAAAAUAGAACCCUAAAAAAAAAUCAAAGUUUUUAUUCAUUUUGAGGGGAAAACAGGACAAUUUCACUCUAGCCAUUAAUUCCUGUUGACACUAAACUCUCACUUAGCAGCUUCUGUGAGUAAUGUUUCCAAGGACAAGGCCCUUAAGCAAACAAAUACUUGUGUAUACAUGCCACUUUAUCACAAUUUUGCAAGCAAAUAGGUUUACUCGUCCACCCGUUUUUGCAUGCAGUUGUGGUAAAUGUAGAUAAUUGCAGGCACAGUUAUGGUAAAUGCAUGUAUAGAAGUAACCAUGCAACUAUACAUGCAUUUUUCAGUGAACAAGUGGACCUCAACUCACUGAAAAUGUCUCUUGUUAAUUUGUUCUGGAUUUCUUCUAGGCAGUCUGUUUAUACGCUGUGCUACUGGUUCCACUCCUCCCAGAAGAAAAGAAACCUUUGCACAUAAACUUGUGAAUUGACACGUAGAUAUUAUGGUGAUGGGCAGAUUACAAAUGCCUAGAUGGAGUUCUGGAUAGUUCCCUUCUAGCUGAAAUUCAUAUUGUAGGAAAAUACUCUUUUCAUUAAAUAAGGAGCAUUGUGAAUACAGUUGCUACAUAAUGCAGCUAUGAAUUCCAGUCUGUGCCCCAUCAGCUUCCAGUUUUCAAAAAUAAAUAGGUGCACUCCUCCAACAAAUACAACUGGCAUAGAUGGCAAGCCUGGAUCAGAGCUGGCAUAUUUCUUAACACAUCUGAUGCUUUCAUUCAUUAAUGCAUGUUUCCAAUAAAUAAAAUAUCACAAUUUCAGAUAUCCAUAUUUUAUCAAGAUGGAAUGAAAGUGGAAACAAGGCAGUAAAGAAUGUUGAUGUGUGCUAACAUGGGCCCAAAUAAUGUAUGCGUUUAACCAUACUCUUUAGGAGGAUGUGGUAAAGAUCUAAUAAGGUCACAAUUAGUGCAUAUUAGUGGUAAGCUGCAUUGCUGUAUUUACUGUGUUGCUUUCUUUUCAGUUUGAAUGUAAGAGACCAUUACUUUAUAAGUUCCACUUAUUGCAGAACUGAAAAGGCAUAUCCUUCAUCAUGAUCUUAAAGCUGAUCUAAAAGGCUUUUUACCUUCCAAGACCUUAGUGGUGGGCUUUGAUUCUUCUAUUUAGAGGUAUUGACUUUGAUGACGCUUCAAGCAAGGAAUUACAUUCCUUUAACUCCUUGACUAGUUAGUGUUGCUGCCAACUGGCAGAAAACCAGAGUCCUGAAUCCUGGAACUGAUGGGUAAAUAGAAGUUAUGAUUUUGUUUGGAACUGUAAAAUGUUGGUUGAUAAUGCACAUUUUAUUGAGGUAGGAUCUCAAACUUUUAAACAUUUUAAAAGUAUUACGGUUUACUUUUCAGUAUUUCAAUCUGAAUAAGUGCAAUAGCAGCCCAGAUGUCAUGGUUUCUGCAGUGGUUUCCUUCCAGGGGGGAAAGAGUAGCCUGGGAAACUACACAAAGAUCCAAGCGGAUCUCAAGAAAUCCACUGUUUAGAGGGCGGAGUCCUCUGCUUUUUCUGGAGAGUGGCAGAAUCAUGGAACAAUUAGGAGGAAACUACUUGAGCUGAAACUAGUGAAUUUUCUUACCUCUUACAGAGAUUUUCCCUUUCUCCCUGAGGAGAAUUUAGCCCCAAGUUAUUUUAUGAUAGUUCAGCAGAAUGUACAUUAAAGUAAAGAGGAAAGAAUUGAGGUGCAGCAUCUGAAGUGUCUUUCAUUUCUGUUGCAGGUGGGGUUCAUAAAGUGAAGAAGUGAAUUGUUCCUGUAGUGUAUUAUGUGUUCCUUUUUUUCCUGCUUGCUAGUGAACUGCUGCAGAAAGGACCUGGACCACUUGGCACAGCAAAUGAGCUUCUUAAAAAUAUAUUUUAAUGAAUAACAGAUACUCAGCAUGAGCCAUUGUUGUUUGGGCUAACAGAUAGCUAGGAUUGUAAAUGUCUAUAUGGUCUAGUCACUAGAGAGAACAGAGAACCACACUGAGUAAGCAUGGGUUACACCUAUGUUUCAAUUUUGAUAAAGAGGAGGAAAGAAUGUUUUGAGCAACCAUCAACUAUAUGACAGAAGAGGUCACUUUCAAGGAAAGAGAUGUAAUCAAACAUAUAGCAACUAAGAGUUUCAUUAUUUGAAGCAGGGGGAGAAAUUACUGAAACCUUUUUGCCAACGUUUAUCCGUUUCAGUUAUUUUUGAUGGUAUGUAUUCCUUGUGUGCUUUAGCUACAGUACCUUUAUAUCGACAGUUGGUAGCACAAGUCUUUUAAAGCACAAAGAGUAGCAGCUCCUCAGCCAAUCUGUGAUAAAAGAGAAAAAAAUGAAAUCACUAUGGAAACUGCAGGAAGAAUCUAAAAGCUUUCUUUAUAAAGUAAAUGUCUGAUGUUUGUGACUGCGGGGGUACAAAAUUCAUAAAUCUGUAUGAUGCUAUCAUUUCUGAUUUGUUAUCUCAGCAAAUGCCAGGUCUAAGCAGUCUGACCUUAGCUUUAUUAAGAGCUUCCUUUUUAGAAACAGUUACUAUUCAACAAUGGAAAGACUGCAGUGCUGCAAGUGGGGGAAACUAAUUUGUUUAAAAUGUGGCUUUAAAAAAAAAAAUCACAGAGACCUCAAGGCUUAGAGAGUCAGGAACACUGUGAGGUUUUUAGUAAUGCAGCAACUAAGGGAGCUGAAUGCAAUUCAGAAAACUUAUGUUUCAUUUCCAUUACAUGCCUGUCUUUGAUCUCAAAUUGAAAAUCUCUGACCUUCCUCCUCCAAUCCAGAAGCAAAUAAAUACUAAAGAAAAGGAAACCCCCUCUUCUUUCAGCACACAGAGCCUCUAAGACUGAAAAAUGAAGGUGACUGCUACUAUGAACCUGUUUGGACACCAGACAGCAACAAAUACCUGUCUCAGUGGAGGAGUUUAAGAGCACUGCAGAGAUCUUCAGGCAGUGCAGAGUAUCUUGGCUUACACAGGCCACGGUCUUUAUUUCAAAACAGUACUAGUCGUGGUUUCUCUGUACCUGCAACUGAAGAAUUAGAGGAACAGGAGGACAGCAGUAAAUCUUCUAAUCCAAAACUCUUCAUGUCACAGAAAAUACCCUGAAGUCUAAGCAGGAUGAGACUCUUGAUUCAGAGGAGGAGAACUGCAUACGGCACAAUGAAGCUACAAGAGAAGCUCUGACUGUUUUGUUUUUUUCCCCCUUCAUCAAGCUACUGUACACAUGGCCUUUCAAGAUGAGCAACUCCCAUAGAACAGCACUUACUGCGGAAGUACAGGAUGUUUAUGCAGGUACAAUAAAGAAAUGAAUAUUGGACUACAUCACAUAGGUCUCGGAGAACAAAAGAGGCUGUGCAUUGAAAUACCUCCAAAGCUUUCUGAAAAUGCUAAUAGAGAGAAGUUUUCCUGGCAUUUAAGAGUAAAUCAUGCACAGUUAGUUGAAGAACAUUUUAUACAUCACUCAUCCUGUUAUAUCCAUGAAGCUGUGCAAUUUCCCUACAAGGUACCAGAUGGAUAGACUGGUAGAUAUUGAGAACCUCUGUCAGGUUUUAGCCUAUGAGCUAGUUAAUCACAUGUCUUUAGUUGCCAAAAAAGAGCAUUUAUCCUGCAGGAAGAAUGGUUGAAAGACUAUUGUUGCAUUAUUAAUAAAAACAGAGACAACACAGAAUCCCUGAUGCCUCAGGACGAUAAGGAAGAAUCUUUGGCUGACCUCGUUGAGGUGAAUGAAGAAUAUGGCAGAUGAAAUGAGAAUGAGGGGAUUAUGCAUCUGAAAACCAAGGACAUCCAGUUAAAGCUCAUCUUAUUUUAAUCUUCAUGUGGAUGAUUGAUCAUACCCGCCAGCUGGCUAAUAUCAUAAUUAACAAAGUUGCUACCACAUCUGAGAAGUAUAAUCGAAAAAUUUACCAGCAGUGUGAUGCCAUUGUCACAAAGAUCAUAAGCAUUACAGAGUCGACUUUUGCAAUCCUGGAGCUGCAGAACUAUGUAGAUGUGCUGAGAAGGGGUGCACUUGUACAGCUAAAGUGAGAUACGAUUGCAGAAAGAGGAAGAUUUAGUUCUGGCAAAACUAGUCCAGUGGCAAAGUGAAGAACUGAUGUGGCUGUCAUGGUAAAGGAAUUCCGGAAUAAAGAACCACUGUCCGAAGCUAAUCUUUACACGUGGGAGCUAGAUGGUAUCAAUGGAAAAAAAUGGGAACUCAUUAAAGAGAAAACAUUAAUCAGGCAGAAGGAAGUUCUUUCAGAGACAGGUCAAAUCAGCUGUUUUGAUGAAAUACAGUGUAUGUCAAUGUAAAGGAACUAUUUGAGAGACUAUGGACAACUGCUGUUCAGUUUAACAUUUAUAUGACAAGUGGGUGAAUGUCCCUCUCUUAUAAGUCAAUGCAGAGGAAGUGGAAAAGAGGUUCAGAAUUUAUGGAAGACUAGCUACAAACUGACAAAGGUAUUUUGUCAGCUAGACUUGCAUAGCCUUUUGAAAGUGCCCACAACUAUGAAAACAAAAGCUGAAGAAUUUAAAAUCAACAUGUCACUUAUAAAAGCUCUGUGUACACCUGGGAUUUAGCCAAGACCCUGGAAUAUGAUGAGUCAAAAGGUUCUGCUGGAGGAUCACAUUGUGAAAACUAUGGCCAUGAAAGGCCCUCCAUUUAUUGCACCCUUCAAACACGAAAUAUUAGCAUGGGAGGCUAAGCUGCGCGACUAAUGGAGGAGAUUAUGGAAACCUGGCUGCAAGUUCAAAAGGCCCUGGUGACCAUGUAUUGCUCACAAGAUACAUGUAACCAAAUAUCAGUAGAAGGAAAGCACUUUGAAGUUGUCAGUAGGAACUGGAGGCUAAUAAUGAAGGAGUCAGUGAAGGAGGCCAAUGGCAUGAGGGUUAUCUCACAGCCCCAGAUGCUGGAUAAGUUGAAGGAGGCAGAAUCGCUUUUGGAUGACAUUCAGAAAGGCCUGAAUGAUUAUUUGGAGAAGAAAAGACUAUUCUUUCUAAGGUUUUUUCUUUCUGUGCCACGAUGAGCUCUUAGAAAUCCUUUCUGAGACAAAGGAUCCACUCCAAGACCAACCACACCUAAAUAAAUGCUUUGAAGGAAUUGCCAAGCUCACUUUUAAUCAAGAGAAAGAAAUUACUCACAUGGAGUCAGCAGAAAAUGAAAAAGUAGAGCUCGUGCUGCGAAUAAUUCCAGCAAGUGCCAAGGGGCUAGUUGAGAAAUGGCUUCAUGAGGUGAAUAUCUUUAGCUCUUACUUAGGGUUUAGUUACUGUAUAAUCAUUUUCUCUUUUAGGAGCAAGGAAUAUCAUAAGCAUAUUUCCUAACUAAAUAGCUCUCUGAGAAUUUACCAGAUUAUUUAACAGAUUGAAUAUCAGCCUUAUUGUUGUUAUUUAUUACACCUAGUUGAUAUGUGCAAACAUGCAAAAUUAAUUUUAAUAAAGAGGUUAUCAGUAUGUGAGACAGUUAAUAAAAGUGUGUGUGUCUGAAAGCAUAUAUGUGACUAUAUGUUCAAGUCUAUGUAUAUGUAUUUUUGUUGUCUUCUCCCUGUAAUUUUUGUAGUUUGGAAAGAUAGAUUUUUUUUACAAAGCAGUUUAAAGGAACGUGAAGAGAUUUUUUGCACACCCCCCUCCCCCCAAAAAUCUUUAUUUUCAAUACAUAUUAAGUAAAGGGAAGAGAAAUAUUUAAUUAACAAUAUACUAACCUUUCCCCUUUGGGCCUAUGAUCCAAAUUAAUCCGUUUCAGUGUGAAAUUAGUUUGAUGACCUUUUUGUUGGCUUUAUUUUUACCUUCCUCUGUUACACAAUCAAAGUGGGUCCUUCCUCUGAUAUACAAUUCUAGGCCAAGUCCACUUCCAAUCUCUCCUUCUUUCUUUCAAGACAGAAUCAGCCCCAGGUACACAUCUUUCCUUUCUGUUGUUAUUGCAGGCACUGCUUUUACCCCAUUAAAUCUCUACCUUUACCUCUUGCCUCUCUCUUCACUUUAGGCUGUCAGCCAACCAGGGUAUACAACUGAGAAAAGCAAUACCGUAUACUAGAAAGGGAGAAAAGGAAAAACAAAACAAAACCAAAAAACACACACAGAAUUUUUUUCCAAGAUGGACUCUGCUGCGGGGGGGGGGGGGCGGGAAUUUGUCAAAGGAACUGAGAGUGAACUUUAGCUGAGAGUAUUACUUCUGUUAUGUGCCGAGUUUCUGCUGGCCGGGUGAGCAAAACAAAACAGCUCAAGUCCUCUCAUGAUUCCAUGUUUCCCACAUAACUGAGCCACAUAUCACCAUGCCAACUUAGAAUUAAUCUUUUUUAAAGUGACUGCACGCAAUUUAAAACAGUUCAUCACAGUUAGUCAGGGGAGGGUAAGGACAGAGCCUACUUAGGCACAAAUACUUCCUUCCCUACUCUCCAAAGAAAAUUGUAAAACUUUAUUUUUGUACUCAUUUUCAGCACAAUGUUAUGUUCUUCGGAAAAACAUUGGAGUUAGAGAGCUGUGGUAGGUAUGAGAUAUGCAGUUAUGAGGAGCCUAGGAAAGGCAGAUCUCACCAUACCGGAAAACCUGCUGGAUGUUGUUUAGUUCUCUCUCUCCAACAAAAGAGAGAGAGAGAGAUAGGGAGAUGAGCAGCUGUGUUUAUUUUAAUACAUCUCAUUUAACCCUCACCUAAAAACAAAUGGAAAGGUUUGGGAGUGCAUUAAUCUGGACCCAAUUAGCAUCUCUUUUUCCCUCAAAAGUGCAACCUGUGAUUAAUGAAUAUAAAGUAGAGUUUCAUAUGCAGUCUUUAAAUCAUUUGCAUGUUUUAUGCAUGAUAAUUGAAUUUAUUUAUGCACUUCCUUUCAUUUAAUGAUUUCCUGCGCUAUCCACAUUGUACUAUCCAAGAAACAGGAUUUGAUAGGCAAGCAAGGAUAGGAGUAGAUAAAUAAAACCAAGUAAAUUUGUAUGUCUAAUGUCAACUGCAAAUAAAAAUUAAUGGGUUAAUGUAAAAUGUUUUAGUUAAAGUAUAUGCUCUUAGCCUUUUCAGACACUUUGGAUAUUGCUUAGUAUGCUUGUAAAUGUACAAGCAAAAUUAUUUUCAAAAGGCCAUGAAAGGCAGUUAAAUUAUUGUAUUGACAUUUCUAUGACCCUGGAGACUUGUGUUUCAACUUGGCCAAUUAGUAGUAAUAAGAUAAUCAGAAGAUGAAUAGUAAUUACAUUAAUAACUAAUGGUAUUCAGCCCAGGACCUAGAGAAUCAGUCUGGUUUAGAAUAUAAUAGUACAUUAUAAUUUGUCUUAUUCAGUAUUUGAUCAGUAGAAAUAUGAGCAUUGGAUGCCUAGUAAAUUUAUCAUAGGCAGGAUGUAUAAGUUCUAGAGAUCAGUUUGCCACAUUACUGUCCCUGUGAUUGUUCCUGUAAAGUGACAUAAUGGGGAAAAUUGCAUUUUUUCCCCCAUUUAAGGUCAGAUGUCCUAGUGAUUCCAUGGUGCUGGUGUCUGAAUUCUUUACAAUGCAAAGUCCAUCCUUGCGAUGGUCAUGCCAGGAAGCUGCUUUGGGAAAGGUUUUUUUUUUUUUUAAAAAAAGGAUUCUGGUAGUGUUUCUCAUAGUUUUGAUUUGUGCCAGUGCUUCUCUUGUCUCUUGUCUUUCCUUCUGUGUUUAAAGAUGUAUGUGGAAGUGAUCUUUUUCUGUGGUGUCCUGUCUUUUUCAGUGACUUAAUUGGUUGUGUGUUGUGAUUGUUUCCUGAUCUUUGUAGGUAGGAAUGUCUUUAAAGGCUAAAGUUCUGUUAAUUUGUGAUGUAACAAUUUCAGUGUGUUUCUUGUCAUUGAAAUGUAGUUUAAAAUGUUCAGUAAUGUAGCAUGAAAUUAUUGGUUAGUUUUGAAAUGGUUGUGAAAUCAUGUGAAGAAAAUAAGUAUUGCAUCUGAUCAAGAUAAAUUCACUCUAGUGUUUUAUGGCUUUUUAUUCCUAUGUGAUAGUAAUAAAGUCUCAUGUAGGGAUGGAAGCCAUGAAAUACAUUGUGAAAAAUCAUCAACUAAGAUGGGGCCAUGAGUAUAGAAAAUGGUAUAGUUGUAGAGCUACUGAAAAUUGUUGGAAAAUGAUUUAGUAUGUCACCAUGUUGAUUACCAUGUUUGCAUUUUAUUUCUUCAUCCCUCACCCAUGUAGUUUGGCAAGUAAGGAAAUUAGUUUAUAACAGGUUGAUUCACCUUUACAUCAAUGUUAAAUGUUUAAAUUGUUUAUACAUUUUUUUGAUUUUCUACUCAAAAUAACACUGUACAUGAAACAUUAAACUAAUUAGUUAAUACUGUAAAAAAAAAACAACAAAACAAAACAAAAACCCAACUUGUGAAUUUCCAAAUUCACGUUAUUGCUACUUAGAUUAAGAAUGAAACAAACUAAGGUAUCCCAUUAGUCCAUGGUCCAGGUUUUUUUACUCCCACACUCAAUAAUAGACAUGAAUGAUGAGCUAGCAUGUAAAUAAUAAUUCUUUUUCUAUUGACAUGUUUUUCUCAAAGUAUACAUUCUCUUCUUUUCCUCUUCUGGAAAUAAGACAAGGGAUUAUAGCUCUGAGGGCAGAAAAAGCACCUGUGAGAAUGUUCAUAAUAGUGCCAACAUCCCAUAUAUUGCUUUACUAUCCAAGUUUUGUCAAUCUUUGUAUAUCUUUCUGUCUUGGGUGUCAUUUUGUUUGUGGGACACUUCUGUGAAUGUGCGUCAUUCUUAUAUAACUAAUUUAUUUUUACAGCCUUCUUUAUGUAUUCUUUCUCAAUGCACAUUAAUAAAAAUAUUUUUGUUA
Molecule: long non-coding RNA, 11848 nt
Organism: Chelonia mydas (Green sea turtle)
Lineage: Eukaryota; Metazoa; Chordata; Testudines; Cheloniidae
Exons: 16
Source: RefSeq, a predicted model, not a curated record